This 264-nucleotide ribosomal RNA is filed under the name Oenococcus oeni. RNAcentral's name for it is "partial 23S ribosomal RNA". It matches the Rfam family "Bacterial large subunit ribosomal RNA", at positions 2220 to 2483 of the family's 2925-position model. The record is from RNAcentral. Lineage: Bacteria; Bacillati; Bacillota; Bacilli; Lactobacillales; Lactobacillaceae.
UUCUAACUCUGAUCAGUUAUCCUGAUCGAAGACAGUGUCUGGCAGGCAGUUUGACUGGGGCGGUCGCCUCCUAAAAGAUAACGGAGGCGCUCAAAGGUUUGCUCAGAAUGGUUGGAAAUCAUUCGUAGCGUGUAAAGGCAUAAGCAAGCUUGACUGUGAGACUGACAAGUCGAGCAGGUACGAAAGUAGGACUUAGUGAUCCGGUGGUUCCGUAUGGAAGGGCCAUCGCUCAACGGACAAAAGCUACCCCGGGGAUAACAGGCU